Molecule: long non-coding RNA, 602 nt
Filed under: Olea europaea subsp. europaea
Lineage: Eukaryota; Viridiplantae; Streptophyta; Magnoliopsida; Lamiales; Oleaceae
Rfam family: mir-160 microRNA precursor family (bases 210-298)
Source: RNAcentral
GGAUUUGAUUUACAAAAUUUGUGUUUUGUAAUAGUGUAUUCUUUUAUAUACAUGGUAAGUAAAUAAUUAUCCUUCCCCUAUAUAUUUCCUCCUCCUCCAAGCCAAUUCACUCACACAAGUCACUACAUCCCCCCUCUUUUUUUCUCACAUAUCCUUCUCCAUCUCUGGAUGAAGAAAGAGGUUGGAGGAUGAAGGAAAGGUGAGUUAGGAGAUGCCUGGCUCCCUGUACGCCCCACGACAAAAUCACUCACGAUGACGGAGUGGCUGAGUCGAGUGGCAUACCAGGAGUCAAGCAUACCGAAAUCCAUCCACCCUUCUGUCUCCUUCGACCUUUUUCUUUUGAUGGUAUGUCAUGCAUGUUGUCUCGUAUAUUCUUUAGAUUCAAAGAUUUGUAUUUCACAUUAUGUGAAGGUAUGUUCGUAUGCCUCCCUGAAAGAUUUGGAUUCAUUAAAAAAUAGAAAAGCCUAGCAUUAAAUAUUAAUUUUCCUUAUUCAGUCUUACGUUUCACAAGUUGGUGUUAAUAGUGACAGGGAAGCCAAAUUUGAGCAUCAGGGAUUUUGCACAAGAACUUACCUUGAACUCUGGCGAACUUCUUAAUGACG